AUGUUGUUGAUGAUAGCCAAGCCGAGAAAGAAGGAUCCCGAUCUCUGCCGUGGUCGACAAACAGCGCGAUGGGCGGAGCACCCAGCCCGUAGGCUCAUCCCCUUCUCCGAUCCACUCCGGCGGCGGCCAUCGUUGUCAAGGCAUCGGUUCAUGUGGUUUCCUGCUACUGGCAUAUCAAAGAGAUGCAGACGAGAGGAAGAGAGCCUCCCCCAAGCUAUGUCUAGGCGAUGCACAGGCGACGGCCACCCUUCCUGUUAUUGCCUCCAUGGCUGGCUGCUCAUCCCCAGGAACCUCCUCCCCUCUCACGUGCGUGAUUAA
This 318-nucleotide ribosomal RNA is filed under the name Triticum aestivum (bread wheat). RNAcentral's name for it is "partial small subunit ribosomal RNA". The record is from RNAcentral. Lineage: Eukaryota; Viridiplantae; Streptophyta; Magnoliopsida; Poales; Poaceae.